AUCUCCUUAAUCGGAGAGGUCCCUUCGGGGACAUUGGUGACAGGUGGGGCAUGGUGGUGGUCGGCUCGGGUCGUGAGAUGUUGGGUUAAGUCCCGCAACGAGCGCAACCCGUGGCUUGAGUCGCGAUCAGUAAGUGGGGGACUAUAGAGAGAAUGCAAGGGAUAACCUGGAGGAAGGGGGGGAUGACGUCAAAUCAUCAUGCCCGUGAUGCUUAGGGCUACACACGUGCUAAAAUGGGUAGUACAGAGGGUUGCCAAGCCGUAAGGUGGAGCUAAUCCCUUAAAGCUACUCUCAGUGCGGAUUGUAGGCUGAAACUCGCCUACAUGAAGGUGGAGUUACUAGUACUCGCAGAUCAGAAUGCUGCGGUGAAUGAGUUGCCGGGUCUUGUACAGACCGUCCGUCACACCACGGGAGUUGGAGACGCCCGAAGCCGAUUAUCUAACCUUUUGGAAGAAGUAGGCGACGGUGGAAUCAAUAACUAGGGCGGAGGCGUAAGAAGGUAGC
Molecule: ribosomal RNA, 504 nt
Filed under: Clostridioides difficile
Lineage: Bacteria; Bacillati; Bacillota; Clostridia; Peptostreptococcales; Peptostreptococcaceae
Description: bacterial SSU rRNA
Rfam family: Bacterial small subunit ribosomal RNA
Source: RNAcentral